GGACUUUUAGCUUAAGUUGGAUAAAGUGUAUAUUUGAUAAGUAUAAGAGUUUUGGUUCGAUCCCAAAAAAGUCUA
Theileria equi strain WA is the source of this 75-nucleotide non-coding RNA. Lineage: Eukaryota; Apicomplexa; Aconoidasida; Piroplasmida; Theileriidae. The record is from Rfam.